AGAGUUUGAUCCUGGCUCAGAACGAACGCUGGCGGCAUGCCUAACACAUGCAAGUCGCGCGAUAUCCAGGAGCUUGCUCUUGGUGAAAGCGGCGCACGGGUGAGUAACGCGUGGAUAACGUACCUUAAGGUUGGGAAUAACCUGCCGAAAGGCGGGCUAAUACCGAAUAUGUUCUAUUGAAGUACGCUUUGAUAGAGUAAAGCGGGGCAACUCGCGCCAUAAGAUCGGUCCGCGUCCUAUCAGCUAGUUGGUGAGGUAAAGGCUCACCAAGGCGAAGACGGGUAGCUGGUCUGAGAGGACGACCAGUCACACUGGGACUGAGACACGGCCCAGACUCCUACGGGAGGCAGCAGUGGGGAAUAUUGGUCAAUGGGCGAAAGCCUGAACCAGCAAUGCCGCGUGGGUGAUGAAGGCCUUCGGGUUGUAAAGCCCUGUCAGUGGGAAAGAAAAAGACGGUUAACACCCGUACUUGACGGUACCCACAAAGGAAGCACCGGCUAACUCUGUGCCAGCAGCCCGCGGUAAUACAGAGGGUGCAAGCGUUGUUCGGAAUUACUGGGCGUAAAGCGCGUGUAGGCGGCUUAUUAAGUCGGACGUGAAAUCCCUUGGCUCAACCAAGGAACUGCGUCCGAUACUGUUAAGCUUGAGUAUCGGAGGGGGGUGGCGGAAUUCCUGGUGGUAGAGGUGAAAUUCGUAGAUAUCA
This 703-nucleotide ribosomal RNA is filed under the name uncultured bacterium. Its description in RNAcentral is "bacterial SSU rRNA". It matches the Rfam family "Bacterial small subunit ribosomal RNA", at positions 8 to 699 of the family's 1533-position model. The record is from RNAcentral.